Molecule: ribosomal RNA, 369 nt
Filed under: uncultured bacterium
Lineage: Bacteria
Description: bacterial SSU rRNA
Rfam family: Bacterial small subunit ribosomal RNA
Source: RNAcentral
GUAGGGGGCCAGCGUUGCUCGGAAUUACUGGGCGUAAAGGGUUCGUAGGCGGUGUGGCAAGUCGGAAGUGAAAUCUCCAGGCUUAACUUGGAGGCUGCUUCCGAAACUGCCGUGCUAGAGUGCGGGAGGGGCGAGUGGAAUUGCAGGUGUAGCGGUGAAAUGCGUAGAUGUCUGCAGGACCACCCGUGGCGAAGGCGGCUCGCUGGCCCGCAACUGACGCUGAGGAACGAAAGCUAGGGGAGCAAACAGGAUUAGAUACCCUGGUAGUCCUAGCCCUAAACGAUCAGGACUUGGGGUGCAUCCCGUUGGGGGUGCGUCCCGUAGCUAACGCGUUAAGUCCUGCGCCUGGGGAGUAUGGUCGCAAGGCUG